Molecule: transfer RNA, 56 nt
Filed under: Fukomys damarensis (Damara mole-rat)
Lineage: Eukaryota; Metazoa; Chordata; Mammalia; Rodentia; Bathyergidae
Rfam family: tRNA
About the family: Transfer RNA (tRNA) molecules are approximately 80 nucleotides in length. Their secondary structure includes four short double-helical elements and three loops (D, anti-codon, and T loops).
Source: Rfam by way of RNAcentral
AGCUCAGUGGCACAGCACCUGCCUGGCAAACAGGAGGCCCUGGGUUCAAUUCCCGG